This is a non-coding RNA of Pelobates cultripes (western spadefoot toad), 244 nucleotides long. NCBI's taxonomy places the organism in Eukaryota, Metazoa, Chordata, Amphibia, Anura, Pelobatidae. The record is from the annotation of a GenBank genome assembly.
CACACGUACAGCACCCACACAAAUAUAGCACACAAACAGCACACACACAGCACACUAACAGUACCCUCACAAACACAAACAGCACACUAACAGGACCCUAACAAACACACACACAGCACACUACCAGUACACUCCAACACAAACAGCACCCUCACAAGCGCACACACACACAAACAGCACCCUCACACACAGUACAUUAACAGCACCCUCACAAGCCCACACACACAAACACCCUCACCCACAU